AUGCAAGUCGAGGGGCAGCAUGGUCUUAGCUUGCUAAGGCCGAUGGCGACCGGCGCACGGGUGAGUAACACGUAUCCAACCUGCCGUCUACUCUUGGACAGCCUUCUGAAAGGAAGAUUAAUACAAGAUGGCAUCAUGAGUCCGCAUGUUCACAUGAUUAAAGGUAUUCCGGUAGACGAUGGGGAUGCGUUCCAUUAGAUAGUAGGCGGGGUAACGGCCCACCUAGUCUUCGAUGGAUAGGGGUUCUGAGAGGAAGGUCCCCCACAUUGGAACUGAGACACGGUCCAAACUCCUACGGGAGGCAGCAGUGAGGAAUAUUGGUCAAUGGGCGCAGGCCUGAACCAGCCAAGUAGCGUGAAGGAUGACUGCCCUAUGGGUUGUAAACUUCUUUUAUAAAGGAAUAAAGUCGGGUAUGUAUACCCGUUUGCAUGUACUUUAUGAAUAAGGAUCGGCUAACUCCGUGCCAGCAGCCGCGGUAAUACGGAGGAUCCGAGCGUUAUCCGGAUUUAUUGGGUUUAAAGGGAGCGUAGAUGGAUGUUUAAGUCAGUUGUGAAAGUUUGCGGCUCAACCGUAAAAUUGCAGUUGAUACUGGAUAUCUUGAGUGCAGUUGAGGCAGGCGGAAUUC
This 625-nucleotide ribosomal RNA is filed under the name uncultured bacterium. RNAcentral describes it as "bacterial SSU rRNA". It matches the Rfam family "Bacterial small subunit ribosomal RNA", at positions 55 to 669 of the family's 1533-position model. The record is from RNAcentral.